RNAcentral lists this ribosomal RNA (405 nucleotides) under Triticum aestivum (bread wheat). RNAcentral describes it as "partial small subunit ribosomal RNA". Lineage: Eukaryota; Viridiplantae; Streptophyta; Magnoliopsida; Poales; Poaceae. The record is from RNAcentral.
AUGGCACCCUACAGACUUGCAGCUUUUGGAUUCAGGGGGGAAAUCAAACUACACAACACGUAUUAUGGACCCUUUCUAGUAAUUCAAAUAGUGGGCAGAGCAGUUUACAAGCUACAGUUUCCUUCACAUGUGAAAAUUAAUCCAGUUUUUCAUGUUAGCCAGCUCAAGAAACAUAUUGGAAGCAAAGCAAUUCCUCCCAGUCUGCCAAUGGUGAAUGAGGAUAGCACUGUCAAAACAGGACCAGUGGCAGUGUUACAAGUCAGACAAGUGCCUAGGAACAGUCUUCCGGUUGUGCAGUGGUACAUCAAGUGGGAAAACCUCACUCCAACCGAAGCAACAUGGGAAGAUGCUGAUUUUAUCAAGUAUACAUUCCCGGAGUUCUUCAAGGCAACAUUUCAAUCAUGA